This 984-nucleotide ribosomal RNA is filed under the name Salmonella enterica. RNAcentral's name for it is "partial 23S ribosomal RNA". It matches the Rfam family "Bacterial large subunit ribosomal RNA", at positions 1243 to 2210 of the family's 2925-position model. Lineage: Bacteria; Pseudomonadati; Pseudomonadota; Gammaproteobacteria; Enterobacterales; Enterobacteriaceae. The record is from RNAcentral.
UAAGCCUGUGAAGGUGUGUCGUGAGGCAUGCUGGAGGUAUCAGAAGUGCGAAUGCUGACAUAAGUAACGAUAAAGCGGGUGAAAAGCCCGCUCGCCGGAAGACCAAGGGUUCCUGUCCAACGUUAAUCGGGGCAGGGUGAGUCGACCCCUAAGGCGAGGCCGAAAGGCGUAGUCGAUGGGAAACGGGUUAAUAUUCCCGUACUUGGUGUUACUGCGAAGGGGGGACGGAGAAGGCUAUGUUGGCCGGGCGACGGUUGUCCCGGUUUAAGCGUGUAGGUGUGUGUUCCAGGUAAAUCCGGUUCACUUUAACACUGAGGCGUGACGACGAGGCACUACGGUGCUGAAGCAACAAAUGCCCUGCUUCCAGGAAAAGCCUCUAAGCAUCAGGUAACAUCAAAUCGUACCCCAAACCGACACAGGUGGUCAGGUAGAGAAUACCAAGGCGCUUGAGAGAACUCGGGUGAAGGAACUAGGCAAAAUGGUGCCGUAACUUCGGGAGAAGGCACGCUGACACGUAGGUGAAGUGAUUUACUCAUGGAGCUGAAGUCAGUCGAAGAUACCAGCUGGCUGCAACUGUUUAUUAAAAACACAGCACUGUGCAAACACGAAAGUGGACGUAUACGGUGUGACGCCUGCCCGGUGCCGGAAGGUUAAUUGAUGGGGUCAGCGCAAGCGAAGCUCCUGAUCGAAGCCCCGGUAAACGGCGGCCGUAACUAUAACGGUCCUAAGGUAGCGAAAUUCCUUGUCGGGUAAGUUCCGACCUGCACGAAUGGCGUAAUGAUGGCCAGGCUGUCUCCACCCGAGACUCAGUGAAAUUGAACUCGCUGUGAAGAUGCAGUGUACCCGCGGCAAGACGGAAAGACCCCGUGAACCUUUACUAUAGCUUGACACUGAACAUUGAGCCUUGAUGUGUAGGAUAGGUGGGAGGCUUUGAAGUGUGGACGCCAGUCUGCAUGGAGCCGACCUUGAAAUACCACCCUUUAA